RNAcentral lists this long non-coding RNA (2302 nucleotides) under Mus musculus (house mouse). Its description in RNAcentral is "long non-coding RNA chr4:136473059-136475361". Lineage: Eukaryota; Metazoa; Chordata; Mammalia; Rodentia; Muridae. The record is from RNAcentral.
AUCUGGCUGUAGUUCCUUCUUGUUGUUGUUUUUUAAUGAUUUACUUUUAUGUGCACUGGUGUUUGGCCUGCAUGUAUGUCUGUGUGAGGGUUUGGUUCUUCUGGAACUGGAAUUACAGACAGUUGUGAGCUGCCAUAUGGGUGUUGGAAAUUGAACCAGAGUCCUCUGGAAGAGCAGCCAGUGCUCUUAACAGCUCUUCUCCAGCCUCUUGAAAUGUUAACACGUUCACAUAAUAAUGCUUAAGGGUAGAGAGGCUGUGAGAUGUUUGAAUGUCUUGCCUUCCCACUUGUAACAGAUUGAUCUCUGACUUACUUUAGCCAAUAUUUUUCAAAGGAGAGGAUAUAUUAGGCAGAACUUGUGGCUUGCUAGGAAGACUUUUCUUUCCUUAUAUUUUUCUUGAGUCACUAAACUUGACUCAAGUUGCUGUGUUGCUCAAGUCUGUCUUAGGAAAUGCUAAAACCUUACCUGCAGAGCUUUUAGAUGCCAGAGUCUAGAAGUAGCCACAAUUCUAUUUUUCUCUGUUCUCUCUCGUUUUUAUUUAUAUUGUUUAGCCCUCCAUUUCCAUCUGUGAGUUUGUCUGAGGAUGAAAACUCUUGUUAGCAUCAACUAUUGUCCUUUCUUCCUUAGACUAUUAGAAAAUAAUAAUUAAAUUAAAAUACCCUCCAGACUACUCAACAUUUUGGGUGACUGUAGGGAGAAAAUUAUAGUAGCUUACUUCAUAGUUAUGAAGUAGUUAUCCUCAUUUUAUACAUCAAGGAGCUGAGCUCAGAUCAGUUACUUCUAGACCCUGUGAGGGGCAGACAUUCUACUCUAGUGUAGUGGUGGGGGUAGCUCAAAGAACACACUUUAAGAUUUUUUUUGGGGGGGCGGGGUUUCGAGAUAGGGUUUCUCUGUGUAGUCCUGGCUGUCCUGGAACUCACUCUGUAGAACUAGGCUGGCCUCGAACUCAGUAAUUUGCCUGCCUCUGCCUCUCAAGUGCCGGGAUUAAAGACAUGUGCCACAACGCCUGGCACACUUUUAAGAUUUUAAGAUGUUAAAAUUGGAGGUGCAGUAUAGUAGGCCUGAUGCUGCUGUGCUAACGAAUUUGUAGCUCAUCUUUUAUUGCACAAUUCCUUCUCAUACUCAGCAUUUAUUAUUUUUAAGUAUAGUACUUUGUAUUCAUUUACUGUUUGAGCCACUCCUUCCCUUUACACAUGAUCCAAAGUUCCCAUCUCUGUAGUUUGUUAUCCAGGAACUUCAUACUUGGCCUGGGCCCUCGCUUUGUUUUAUCUGGACAGUCUUAUUUAAUUAUUUAAUUUUAGUUUUGAGACAGGGUCUCAUAUAGCCCAGGGUGAUCUCAGACUCACUGUAUAGCUAAGGACGUAGUGGGGGGUGGGGGAGAAAGUAUGUUUAUAUGUGUGUUGUAGGGGAUUACAUAUUCUGAGUAAGUGUUUUGCCAAGUUUUUCUUUCUUCUCUUUCUCACAUAUGAUGGGUAAGUGCUCUUUUACAGAACUGUAUCCCCAGCCUGUUCUUACCUUGUGUUUUGAGAUAGUUGUUAACUAAGUUGCCUGGGUUUAAACUUACUCUGUCAACCCGGGUGACCUUGAACUUCUCUUUUGUAAAGAUUUAUCUUUGUGUUUGAGAGGGAAAAUUCUGUAUGUGGGCUCCUUUGUGUAGGCAGGGUGGGAAGAAACAGGAGGAGACUUGGAAAAGGAGGGAGAAAAAGAAAGGGAGGAAGAGCUGAGCAGUACGAGGAUUGUGGCAUUUGUGAAACCUCUAGAUUUUUAAGUUGGUGCUGGGAUCUGAACUCUGGUCCUCAGAUUUGUAUAGAAACAGUUCUUUUUAAAAAUCCCUUUAAAUUAUUAUUUUUUUAAUAGUGGACUUCAUCCUGUCUCUGCUCUGGGAGAGGUUUUUGUUUUUUGUUGUGUUUUUUUUUUUCUUCUUCAUUCCAGACAGGGAUUUAAACAGCUAUCCUGGAACUAACUUUGCUGGCAUUGAACUCAGAGACCCACCUGCCUUUGCCUCCCGAGUGCCUAAGUUUAUGCUGCGUAUCAGAGAUACUUCUCACUACCCUGUCUUGUUAGUCCUUUUCCGUUAUUCCCUAUUACUGGCUUUUGUUGCUUUUCUUCGUAGGACCUAUUAUGAUUUAUUCAUUAUGAUUUAUAAUGAUACACCUGCUUCCAUGAUUAUUAUCUGUCUUCCUACUAUACUUUGUAGGAGCAAAGAAGUCAUUUAUUUUGUUCUUGAGUGUAUGUAUCCCUAAUACCUAUCACAGUAUGGCAUAUUAUAUUUAAUAAAUAUUUAAUAAUUAUAUUCAAAAGC